GACGAACGCUGGCGGCGUGCUUAACACAUGCAAGUCGAACGGAAAGGCCCUGCUUUUGUGGGGUGCUCGAGUGGCGAACGGGUGAGUAACACGUGAGUAACCUGCCCUUGACUUUGGGAUAACUUCAGGAAACUGGGGCUAAUACCGGAUAGGAGCUCCUGCUGCAUGGUGGGGGUUGGAAAGUUUCGGCGGUUGGGGAUGGACUCGCGGCUUAUCAGCUUGUUGGUGGGGUAGUGGCUUACCAAGGCUUUGACGGGUAGCCGGCCUGAGAGGGUGACCGGCCACAUUGGGACUGAGAUACGGCCCAGACUCCUACGGGAGGCAACAGUGGGGAAUAUUGCACAAUGGGCGGAAGCCUGAUGCAGCAACGCCGCGUGCGGGAUGCCGGCCUUCGGGUUGUAAACCGCUUUCGCCUGUGACGAAGCGUGAGUGACGGUAAUGGGUAAAGAAGCACCGGCUAACUACGUG
This 468-nucleotide ribosomal RNA is filed under the name uncultured bacterium. RNAcentral's name for it is "partial 16S ribosomal RNA". It matches the Rfam family "Bacterial small subunit ribosomal RNA", at positions 28 to 507 of the family's 1533-position model. The record is from RNAcentral.